This is an RNA transcript of Rhinichthys klamathensis goyatoka, 938 nucleotides long. RefSeq lists it as uncharacterized. The transcript has 5 exons. The record is from RefSeq and is a predicted model, not a curated record. Lineage: Eukaryota; Metazoa; Chordata; Actinopteri; Cypriniformes; Leuciscidae.
AGGAGCGAUUUGACAUUGUUUUGUUUGAGUCUCAUUCGCUCUCUUCACACUGGGCGCCUCGUUAUGAUUAAGGGAAGACACUCACAAACACGCUGAAACAUGUGGACGGAGGUGAGAAACAACAACAACACUCACGAAGAACCACAGGACCACAGUCUCAAACAGAUAGUUUCCCAAGUGUCUUCAUGGCUCCCCUUCAACUCUGAUAGAAAUGGCUCAGUAACUGCCAGUCCACCCCCUCUCGCUGAGACCCCCGUGAACAGACCGAGUGGAAUCAUACCAGGUAGAGUUUCACUCUCUGAUUCCCCGAGGUCACAAUAGAGUGCAAAAGUGACCACCUUUUCAGCUACACUACCAUUCAGUGCGAUCGCUGCGGCAGUGUUCAUAGGCCUUCUGUUAGCCCUCUAUGCUGUUCUUUGGAAAUGCAUGGUUACGCGACCGAAAAGUGUCUCUGUUAGGAGGAAAAAAAGAACAAGUUUGAAGGCUCGUGAACAGCGGUCUCUUAUGUGUUGACCCCUGGACAGGACAUCCGCCAGUCUACCAGAGAUUCUGAGUUACUGAUCUUAGGUCAGAUCUUCUCCUGCUCUGUAUCAGCAUCCUCAUGAACUGUGUUUAGGUCUUAACGCACACUAUUUGAGGGAACAUUUUGAGGCGCUUCUGUUUUGCAGUUCUACAUGGUCCUCAACAGAUAUAUAUCUCCAGUCUUUCAUAAGUCACCCAUCAGGUUCUUAAUCGGUCUGCUUGGCUGAUCACCAGACGUUAUCCAAUUGGACAGGGGGAGUUACAUUUUUGAAAAUUGUCUUGAUAAUGUGGAACUUAGUCAUUAAACUGAAUAAUUUUGUGUAUGUAUAUAGAAAAUAACAAGCCCAUAUGUGCUCUUGAGCUACGUAUGAAUAGUGUACUUGAGUAUAAGAUAUUUCCAGAGUUUAUAAUGUAGG